Molecule: long non-coding RNA, 1524 nt
Organism: Corvus hawaiiensis (hawaiian crow)
Lineage: Eukaryota; Metazoa; Chordata; Aves; Passeriformes; Corvidae
Exons: 2
Source: RefSeq, a predicted model, not a curated record
CGAGGCGGGGCCCGCAGAUCGCCGGCGUUCCGCGGCGCCGGCGUUCGAACAGGGGAAACAUUUGUUCAGCCGUCAAUCAAAAUCCCUGCCUAAGGCCUGCAGCUACUGAGCACCUUGAGGCCUUGAUGAGACAUGACACCCAGGUUUUACCAUUGAGGUUUUGCCUUGCUUAAGUAACCUUCAAGGAUUGAUCCAGUGAAACGGUCGUGGUGGUGGUGAUGAUGGAGGUGGUAAUGACAUCCAUCUUCUGCCACUGCCUAGGACUCAGCUGCAAGAGGCACACAGUGGAAAUUCCACCUUUUUCUGGAGUUUGUAACUAAAAUCUGCUCCCCUAUGGUGAGUGCUGUGACCACUAGCAUCUGGAGAAGUUUGUCACAACAGAUUCUUAAUUGUUUUGAAGAAAGAUUUUGCCUGAAAUGACAAGUGUAAAAUGGGCCAAAAUAUGUCCAUCCUUCUCCCCUUCUGUUUUUAUACGGCCAAAAAUAUCUACAUGGUUUUUAUUGCAAUACUUAGCUUCCAGCCUACUUGCAUGUCUAGUUUCUGCUGUAAUUUUUGUAUUUACCCAGGUCAUAAUCAGAUUUCCAUAGGGAUUUAGACCUCUAAAUAUUGUUUAAAGAUUUUGUGAUAAAACACCUGCCUAAUUAUGAAAACACUGCUUCUCGUGUGUCUAAAUCUUCCAGCACCAAAAAGGCUUUUAAAAAAUCGAUCAUGAGCACCCCUCACUAGACAGAGGAGCACUUCCAACUCCUCUGAAAUAGAGGACAUUCACCAUAUGCCUGGACCAAGUCUUGACAUUCAGAACUAUGGCUGCCAAAUCUACAAAUGCUUAAGUGGCUGUCACCAAGAGUGUGAAAGCUGUGCAGGAACAGAACAGAACUAUUCACUCUGCAGAGCUGUAAGCAUCUCUGGAAACCUGAUGGGUGUGCACAGUGGAUAUUACCAUCAAAUCCACAAAGUGGAGAAGGAUAAGUCCAGUUAUAAAAUAAAGAGUAUGUCUGAAGAAAUUGAAUUCUGAAAAUAACAGCAGGAUUCAUUGUUCCCUGUCGCCCUGCAUGAGUUUGGCAUUAUGUACAGAGCUCCAAACAUACAGGUGUUCAAUACCUUAGAAGGCAAAAGCAUACAGCUUUUUGGUCAAAGCAGUCUCUGGUCUUCUUGUGCCGGUCAGUUUACCAGCAAUGUUCAUCGAAGCUUCGCCAAUAUUUACUCUUGCUUGCCCAUUGGUCUUCAGUGAAUUUGUGUAGCUAAAAGUAAGGCAGAGCUUGGUUUGCAAAGCUUUAGCAAGACAUAUAUAUCCAUAUACUUAACUCUUCAUGUAACUAAUCACUUGUCUAUUUUUGUGCAGUUUUGCAGCAUUCUGGCAAGAUCCAUGCAACCCAGAAGUUUAAGAGAAAGUGUGCUAUAACUUGCCACUUUUAAAUUAUGUGAAUUAAGAUCAGAAUGUCAUUGUCAUUCUGUUUUCCUGUCUUCUGUCACUUCUGACACAGCUUUGAUGGAUCUUUAAAUAUGGGCUGUUUUGUAUUUAAA